AGGAGUCUUAAUCGGAUGGCAGGCUCGAAGCGAUCGAAUUGAAAAGUUUAGAUCCAUCUCAAUUGGAUUGGAGGUUUGGAGCAAACGAGAACAUUAAUGAAGAAGGAGGGCACAUGCAAAGGUCGUUGACAGCUUAGAGGUGGAGCAUGCUGGUGCUUCUCUGACGACCAUGCUAGAGGUUGACGGGUAAUGGAAGGUCUCCAGCCACCAGGGGAGUUGUUUUGGAUGUUGCAAUGGAGAGCAUGGCACACUGUUGUCCAUGCAAUUUACUUUAUGGAUACAUUUGAUGUGUGGCUAAAUUAUAAUAAUAUUUUUAUUUUUUGGUUAAUUAAAAAAUGAGUGUAAUAUAGCCAUCUUGCACCCUGUACAUGUCAUGUUUUUUUGUAUUUAUAUGUGAAAUUCUUCAAGAUUUUGGAAUUUUGUCAAAUGUCUAGAUAUAAUACUUUUACAAAAUAUAUUUAAA
This is a non-coding RNA of Elaeis guineensis (African oil palm), 463 nucleotides long. The record is from RefSeq and is a predicted model, not a curated record. Lineage: Eukaryota; Viridiplantae; Streptophyta; Magnoliopsida; Arecales; Arecaceae.